AACUUUCGACAACGGAUCACUAGGCUCUUGCAUCGAUGAAGAACGCAGUAAAAUGCGAUAAGUAAUGUGAAUUGCAGAUCUCGUGAAUCAUCGAAUCUUUGAACGCACAUUGCGCCCUAUAGAAUUCUGUAGGGCAUGCCUGUCUGAGCAUCAUAAUAUCUACUCAGAUCUUUGAUUAUUUUAUAUAGUCUUGGAUUUGGAUUUAAUCAGAGAAGUAACCUAUAUGAGUAGAUUACUCUUUGGAAAAAUAAAGGCAGUUAUAGUGAAACCUAUAUUAAACGUGAUAUUAAAAAGUUUCGUUUUUAAGGACUACAUCUUGGACUUGCCUUUAACCCACUUAAUUCUUUUUGAUUGACCUCAGAUCAGGUAGGGAUACCCGCUGAACUUAAGCAUAUCAAUAAGGGGAGGC
RNAcentral lists this unclassified non-coding RNA (409 nucleotides) under uncultured Pezizaceae. RNAcentral's name for it is "sequence contains ITS2". The stretch from base 1 to 153 matches the Rfam family "5.8S ribosomal RNA". Lineage: Eukaryota; Fungi; Ascomycota; Pezizomycetes; Pezizales; Pezizaceae. The record is from RNAcentral.